CUCACACCCAUCAACGCCCGGGUACUACGAGCCCCAGCUUAAAACCCAAAGGACUUGACGGUGUCCCAUCCACCUAGAGGAGCCUGUUCUAUAAUCGAUAAUCCCCGCUAAACCCAACCUUCUCUUGCAAUCAGCCUGUAUACCUCCGUCGUAAGCUUACCAUAUGAGUGACCUUAGUAAGCUAAAUGGUCACAAAACCCCAAUACGUCAGGUCAAGGUGCAGCUCAUGAAAAGGCAAAAAAUGGGCUACAAUUUCUAAUCUAAAACAAACGAAACACUGCAUGAAACUCAGCUGUGAAGGCGGAUUUAGUAGUAAAAAAAAAAUACCGUGUUCUUUUUAACUAGGCCCUGGGACGUGUACACACCGCCCGUC
This 373-nucleotide ribosomal RNA is filed under the name Nanorana sichuanensis (Sichuan Paa frog). RNAcentral describes it as "partial 12S ribosomal RNA". It matches the Rfam family "Bacterial small subunit ribosomal RNA", at positions 875 to 1398 of the family's 1533-position model. The record is from RNAcentral. Lineage: Eukaryota; Metazoa; Chordata; Amphibia; Anura; Dicroglossidae.